This 440-nucleotide ribosomal RNA is filed under the name uncultured Bacteroidota bacterium. RNAcentral's name for it is "bacterial SSU rRNA". It matches the Rfam family "Bacterial small subunit ribosomal RNA", at positions 917 to 1359 of the family's 1533-position model. The record is from RNAcentral. Lineage: Bacteria; Pseudomonadati; Bacteroidota.
GGGCCCGCACAAGCGGAGGAACAUGUGGUUUAAUUCGAUGAUACGCGAGGAACCUUACCCGGGCUUGAAUUGCGCAGGAAUAAUUUGGAAACAGAUUCGUCUUCGGACCUGCGUGAAGGUGCUGCAUGGUUGUCGUCAGCUCGUGCCGUGAGGUGUCGGCUUAAGUGCCAUAACGAGCGCAACCCUAAUUUCUAGUUACUAACAGGUCAUGCUGAGGACUCUAGUAAGACUGCCGUCGUAAGAUGUGAGGAAGGUUGGGAUGACGUCAAAUCAGCACGGCCCUUACGUCCGGGGCUACACACGUGUUACAAUGGGGAGUACAGCGGGCAGCUACGGGGUGACCCUUCGCUAAUCCAUUAAACUCCUCUCAGUUCGGAUCGAAGUCUGCAACCCGACUUCGUGAAGCUGGAUUCGCUAGUAAUCGCGCAUCAGCCACGGCG